UCCAGAUCGCAGCUCGAAGACGUCCGAGAAAUGAUCAGCAUUUCACGGAAGAGCUCGGGCCCUCUAUUGCUCUCCAGAGAGCGGAGCCACUUCGGGCAGCCAGGCCAUGAGAGCUCAGGAGCUGCAGCUUCAGAUCGAAUACCGCAGCGACGGGGGAAGAGCAGAUGAGGCGCAAAGCCGAAUCGAGCAUCCAUCCACCAUGAACUGCACCCGAUUUCCCACUAACAGGAGGGACGCCUGAAAACUGGCCUUCGACCUCAAGAGCAAGCAUCCACCUUGGCACCUGAACCAAUUUUCCUCCUUGGCCGCUCAUCUCUCUUAACACCCUCUUCCUUGAGCUCCAUCCUUAGGGGCUCCUCCGCAGGGCAUAUUCCCGCCAUGCGUGGAGCUCGUCAGUUGUGUUUUCAAUUUUCACCACGCUUUGACGUGGUGAUCGCUUGAGUGGAGAGCCAUGUUGGCACAAGGCGAAGGGAUCAAAUGAGGAGCAGGAGGAACGCUCUACCCGAGUGCAAGGUGCGAUGACUGAGACCGAAUCAGUUUAAAAGACCUUGCCGAAGGUACAAAAACGAAUACGUGGUGAAGCUUGAAUUACAACCCAG
Tachyglossus aculeatus (Australian echidna) is the source of this 599-nucleotide long non-coding RNA. RefSeq lists it as uncharacterized. The record is from RefSeq and is a predicted model, not a curated record. The transcript has 3 exons. Lineage: Eukaryota; Metazoa; Chordata; Mammalia; Monotremata; Tachyglossidae.